RNAcentral lists this ribosomal RNA (253 nucleotides) under uncultured bacterium. Its description in RNAcentral is "partial 16S ribosomal RNA". It matches the Rfam family "Bacterial small subunit ribosomal RNA", at positions 524 to 776 of the family's 1533-position model. The record is from RNAcentral.
UACGUAGGGGGCUAGCGUUGUCCGGAUUUAUUGGGCGUAAAGAGCGUGUAGGCGGCCAGGUAGGUCUGGUGUGAAAACUCGAGGCUUAACCUCGAGAUGUCAUCGGAAACCAUCUGGCUAGAGUCCGGAAGAGGAGAGUGGAAUUCCUGGUGUAGCGGUGAAAUGCGCAGAUAUCAGGAAGAACACCAAUGGCGAAAGCAGCUCUCUGGGACGGUACUGACGCUGAGACGCGAAAGCGUGGGGAGCAAACGGG